GGGCGUUAGCUCAGUUGGUAGAGCAGUUGACUUUUAAUCAAUUGGUCGCAGGUUCGAAUCCUGCACGACCCACCA
This 75-nucleotide transfer RNA is filed under the name Escherichia coli. RNAcentral describes it as "tRNA-Lys". It matches the Rfam family "tRNA". From Rfam's summary of the family: Transfer RNA (tRNA) molecules are approximately 80 nucleotides in length. Their secondary structure includes four short double-helical elements and three loops (D, anti-codon, and T loops). Lineage: Bacteria; Pseudomonadati; Pseudomonadota; Gammaproteobacteria; Enterobacterales; Enterobacteriaceae. The record is from RNAcentral. RNAcentral also lists the same sequence under 2 other names.